RNAcentral lists this ribosomal RNA (488 nucleotides) under uncultured bacterium. Its description in RNAcentral is "partial 16S ribosomal RNA". It matches the Rfam family "Bacterial small subunit ribosomal RNA", at positions 28 to 507 of the family's 1533-position model. The record is from RNAcentral.
GACGAACGCUGGCGGCGUGCUUAACACAUGCAAGUCGAACGGAAAGGCCCUGCUUUUGUGGGGUGCUCGAGUGGCGAACGGGUGAGUAACACGUGAGUAACCUGCCCUUGACUUUGGGAUAACUUCAGGAAACUGGGGCUAAUACCGGAUAGGAGCUCCUGCUGCAUGGUGGGGGUUGGAAAGUUUCGGCGGUUGGGGAUGGACUCGCGGCUUAUCAGCUUGUUGGUGGGGUAGUGGCUUACCAAGGCAUUGACGGGUAGCCGGCCUGAGAGGGUGACCGGGCACAAUGAAACCAGGACAGGGUCGAGACGCGUACGGGGAGCAGCAGUAGGGGACCUACUGCAAUGGGCCAAAGCGUGACGGGGCAACGCCGCGUUGGUGAUGAAGGUCGGCGGAUAGUAAAGCGCGGUUAUUAGGGAAGAACAUAGGUGUAAGGAACAGUGCAGAUCAUGAAGGUACCCAAUAAGAGAGACACGGCUAAAUACGUG